CGGCUGCUGGAGGCGCGGGCCGGGCCGUGCGCACUACGGCCGCAUCCGUGCCCCGGCGCCGUCCGUGCCCGCGGGACCUGACAGCCGGGUCAGAGGCUCCUGCACGGCCGGUGCUGUGCCUCCGGGCCCAGGUGACCUCGGGGUGAGAAGGAAAGGGCCUCUGAGAUGAGAACAUAGUUUUGCUGUUUUCAGUUUAUACUCAAAGCCCUGCAGUUUCCUGACAGCACAGAGCACACCUGUCACGCGGGCAGGAUGAAGCGCAGAGGCUGCCUGGUGAAGUGGGCGGAGCGCUGGAAAAUCCGCGUGCAGAGUAGCUUGGUUCCCUCCACAGGGAGCGUGCAAGGCCCUCUCCGGCGCCGCGGGAGCCUCGCCCUCUGCACAGACUUCGGAGCCAGGUGCUGGAGCGGCAGCAACUGAGGGGCGUGGAUGUCUUUGCACGGUUCCCAUACGUUUUUCAGACGUUAAUUGAUUUUCAGUAAAGUGGCAGGAUCAACACCGAAGAAUGGGGAGCAACUGUGAGCCGAUUUCCUGCGAGUGGUUGAGAAGCAGGCUUGGUGUGGUUGGCCGCCCUUGUGCUUAGCGGCUGCUCAGCCCUGCCCCCGCUGCUCCUGCUGGAGCUGCCUGCCUGGCUUAGAAACAACGCACCUCUGUAGUUGGCGGUGGCUUCGACAGGUGAAGCCCAAGCAGGUUAGUGUUCUCACAGCUAGGAAGGACAUGGGCCUGGCAGGGAGCUGCAGCACAGCCUCUGUCAACACAGAAGCACUGCCGUGCGAACCCUUGCCUCCCAGGACAGCUGUUGCGUACCCAGCAGCCGGAGCGCUGGCUCCGCGAGGGCUCUUCAGCAGUGCCAGGUGCAGCUGGGCUCCACCCUCAACUGGUCCAAUAGUAGCGAAAGAAACGAGGAGUGUCAUGAAUUGUUAGACAGCAUCCGUAUGCCUAAGUUCAAAUUGGAGCCGCCCAGCCCUACCUGUGGAUACAAAGCUGCCGUUCAGUGGGGAGCCAGAGCGGAGGGGCCUAUGUGACGCCCUUGCAUGUGGGUGAAAGUCACCCGCAGGCCGUGCCAACGUUCUGAGAGGUGACAAAGGGGCAGGGCCUCUGGGAUCUGGGGUCAGGAGUUCCAGGAAGCCUGCUUCUGCUUCUGCCCAGCAGUUCACUCUUUCCUCCACAGCAGCUGAAGCUUGAGCUGCUGUGGGGCUCACCUGGCCAAAGGCAGAAGGGAGCUCUCCGUCCCAGGCAGCAUCCUGGUGGGUGUCUGUCCUGUGCGAGACACUGGCCGCAGAGGCUGAGAAAGGAGAGGACCCCAGCCUGCCUCUGGAGGCCCAGGGGAGGCAGUGAAGGGCCCAAGGCUAGUGAUGCAGGAGUUUCCAGAGCGCAGGGAAAUACGGAGCGAGAAACACCAGCCCUCAGCUCCACUGGGGCGCCACGCAACCUCUGCCGGUGCUGAGGGGUUACAGGGCUCUGUUACCAGCCCCAUUCCUCCUGGACGGGCGAGGUCGGUCUGCAUCACACCCCCUAACCUCUUGUGCUCUGCGACCUCAGAAUACAUGAAGCUGUGUCCACAGGCCUCAGCGGCUGUGAACCCCUCGCCUACACUGGGGGGUCCUCAGCUGACACCUGAGCCAGUGUCCAGUGUCCCAGUGGUGCCAGGACAGAGUCCCCCUCCCCGACCUGACUUGUGCACCUCGUCACCCACUGCCAGCAGUGUCCCCCCACAACAGGCUUGCUCAGUACAGCACCCAACCCAAGUCCCCAGCACCCACACCCCAGUGAGUUUCCUGUGUUCUAUAGGCUCAGCUGCUUCUCGUCCUCCCCCCACUUGGGAUCCUUGGAACAGGGAAUGGUUCUUAUUUAGGUCCCUGAGGUACCAAGCACAGGCUUUGCUCUUAGCAGCCACCACUCCAGUGAUGAAGCUGAUAGCAGACUGGCCCCUGCAGAGCUCUGAGCGGGGGUGGCUGGCUUCACCGGCCUCCACCCUGGCCCAGAGCUGCCUCCUGAGCAGCGGAUCCCAACCUGCCUGCCCCUGGGGCUGGGUCUCCAGCAGUCAGGACUGAGCUGCUGCUAGCUGCUGACAGGUGUGGGGUGAAGGGGGCGCAUUUGCCCCGUGUCCCCAUUGGCAGCAUCUCCACACCUUCCCUUGUGACACCUCCUACCAGAACAGACCCCCACCUGCUCCCCCAGCACCAGGGGUCGUCUUCUGCCUGCUCCUUCUGUCCGCCACACUGAAGAGUGUGCUCCAGCCGGGGAUGGGCGUGCGUGACGCUGGGGAAUGGACACCUGUGAAAUGGUGGAGUGUGCAUCAAGUCUAAAUAGCCGCUCACAAGAUCUGAGGGCUUUUUGUUUCCAGAAACCUGAUCUGAUCUUUAUAAAAAGUGCUCCCCCGCUCAGUCAGCCUGGGUCUCCCUCCCGUCCAGGCUGGCAGCGCUGUCUGGCUCGGCGAGGAGGGGCUGAAACUGGAGAGCCCCUGGGAAGGCUCUUGCGGGCCAAGUGGCAACGGGGAGGGUAGCUCUCGUUCCCCGCCCUCAUUCUAGCGUUUAGCAGACUGCCCCACACCGCAGGUUUCCAUUUUCACCCUUAGGUUAAGAGAAAAGCAGGAAUAAAAAGUUUCUAAUGUUGCUUGCGAAA
Molecule: small RNA, 2622 nt
Filed under: Pongo abelii (Sumatran orangutan)
Lineage: Eukaryota; Metazoa; Chordata; Mammalia; Primates; Hominidae
Description: retained intron
Source: RNAcentral